AGUGAACGCUGGCGGUAGGCCUAACACAUGCAAGUCGAACGGCAGCACAGUAAGAGCUUGCUCUUACGGGUGGCGAGUGGCGGACGGGUGAGGAAUACAUCGGAAUCUACUUUUUCGUGGGGGAUAACGUAGGGAAACUUACGCUAAUACCGCAUACGACCUACGGGUGAAAGCAGGGGAUCUUCGGACCUUGCGCGAUUGAAUGAGCCGAUGUCGGAUUAUCUAGUUGGCGGGGUAAAGGCCCACCAAGGCGACGAUCCGUAGCUGGUCUGAGAGGAUGAUCAGCCACACUGGAACUGAGACACGGUACAGACUCCUACGGGAGGCAGCAGUGGGGAAUAUUGGACAAUGGGCGCAAGCCUGAUCCAGCCAUACCGCGUGGGUGAAGAAGGACUUCGGGUUGUAAAGCCCUUUUGUUGGGAAAGAAAAGCAGCAGGUUAAUACCCCGCUGUUCUGACGGUACCCAAAGAAUAAGCACCGGCUAACUUCGUG
This 492-nucleotide ribosomal RNA is filed under the name uncultured bacterium. Its description in RNAcentral is "partial 16S ribosomal RNA". It matches the Rfam family "Bacterial small subunit ribosomal RNA", at positions 29 to 507 of the family's 1533-position model. The record is from RNAcentral.